This 460-nucleotide ribosomal RNA is filed under the name uncultured bacterium. Its description in RNAcentral is "partial 16S ribosomal RNA". It matches the Rfam family "Bacterial small subunit ribosomal RNA", at positions 338 to 795 of the family's 1533-position model. The record is from RNAcentral.
CCUACGCGUGGCAGCAGUGAGGAAUAUUGGUCAAUGGCCGGAAGGCUGAACCAGCCAUGCCGCGUGAAGGUCAGUGCCCUAUGGGCGUUAAACUUCUUUUGUGCGGGAGCAAUAAUGGUCACGUGUGGCCAGACGAGAGUACCGUACGAAUAAGCAUCGGCUAACGCCGUGCCAGCCGCCGCGGGAAUACGGGGGAUGCAAGCGUUAUCCGGAUUUAUUGGGUUUAAAGGGUGCGUAGGCUGUGAGGUAAGUCAGCGGUGAAAUGCCCCCGCUCAACGGGGUGAAGUGCCAUUGAUACUGGCUUGCUGGAAUGCGGAUGCCGUGGGAGGAAUGUGUGGUGUAGCGGUGAAAUGCAUAGAUAUCACACAGAACACCGAUUGCGAAGGCAGCAUACCGGCGCUCAACUGACGCUCAUGCACGAAAGUGUGGGUAUCGAACAGGAUUAGAUACCCCGGUAGUC